UUGAUUGUUACAGCUAGCUGAAUCAACAUUAACCUGCAAAAGUCAAGUCGUUCUGAAAGGCUUAAUACGUGAUUAGAAAAGGUAUCUUGAAUAAUUUAGUUGAAAAAAUCAUACAACCCUUAACACACAACCGACAGGUUCCAUCAAAUGAUCUACUCUUCCCAAUAAAGCUUCUGAGAUGGCGAGUGUUUGCAAUGGAGAUGGGAGGGAAACCUUCAACAGUACUUUUGAUGUCAAGUGACAUCCCAUAACUCAAACCAAUCAGUUCCUCUUUAAAAUCUUCAGAGACAAUCUUCAUCAAAUCUUUAAAUUGAAGAUCUUCUUCUAUGGAAAUGAAAGAUGCAUUCAUGUUCAAAUCGACAUGAAACUCCCACUGGAAUGCAUCUUUUGACCU
RNAcentral lists this long non-coding RNA (394 nucleotides) under Brassica napus (rape). RNAcentral's name for it is "long non-coding RNA (BNAP_LNC025727)". Lineage: Eukaryota; Viridiplantae; Streptophyta; Magnoliopsida; Brassicales; Brassicaceae. The record is from RNAcentral.